AGUGAACGCUGGCGGUAGGCCUAACACAUGCAAGUCGAACGGUAGCACAGGAGAGCUUGCUCUCUGGGUGGCGAGUGGCGGACGGGUGAGGAAUACAUCGGAAUCUACUCUGUCGUGGGGGAUAACGUAGGGAAACUUACGCUAAUACCGCAUACGACCUACGGGUGAAAGCAGGGGAUCUUCGGACCUUGCGCGAUUGAAUGAGCCGAUGUCGGAUUAGCUAGUUGGCGGGGUAAAGGCAAACAAAGGCGACGAGCCGGAGCUGGUCUGAGAGGAUGAUCAGCCACACUGGAACUGAGACACGGUCCAGACUCCUACGGGAGGCAGCAGUGGGGAAUAUUGGACAAUGGGCGCAAGCCUGAUCCAGCCAUACCGCGUGGGUGAAGAAGGCCUUCGGGUUGUAAAGCCCUUUUGUUGGGAAAGAAAUCCAGCUGGCUAAUACCCGGUUGGGAUGACGGUACCCAAAGAAUAAGCACCGGCUAACUUCGUGCCAGCCGCCGCCGUAA
This 506-nucleotide ribosomal RNA is filed under the name uncultured bacterium. RNAcentral's name for it is "partial 16S ribosomal RNA". It matches the Rfam family "Bacterial small subunit ribosomal RNA", at positions 29 to 523 of the family's 1533-position model. The record is from RNAcentral.